ACCGAAAGAACAUGAUAACUAGAAUGUGAAAUACCACUUCAUGAUGCGAGCGGACAUUGUGUGUAUACACUCAGCCGUAGCUGUCAUUCCAAGAGCACCACAGUCAAACCACCGCUUGAGGAAAACCUAGGGGACAGGGGUUUGUAGCUGAAGUGGGGUUCUUCUUCAUUAUCUAUCUUCGACAGCUUCUUCUAUCAUCCACUGGCCUUUCGCCUUUCUUGACAGAAAGUUCGACUUCAUCAGGUCCUAAAAUUGGGAUGGACCGAUGGAGAGGAAAUCCUUUCCCCCUUCGAGAGAAAGAUCGACUUCAACGAAGGAUCAAAGUUUGUGCAUUGGCGGGGCAAAUCUAGGGUUCAUUUGUUUCGAUUGACUUUCUUAUCAAAAAACCUAACAAACAAUUUGGAAGGUCAAAAUCUUCGUUUCCAGAUUGCAAGAACAAGUCGCGACUAAGUUCUUUCAUUUCAGACCUUUGAGUUUUUGGAGUUUAUGAGAGAAGAUCCAAAUGGAGGGUACUAUUAUCUGUAGUUAAUACCCAACAUCAAUUUCUUUUAGCAUACUCAUUUGCAUCUGUUGUUAUUUUUUCACUUAACAGCUCAUAGAGGAGUAGAAACCUGGAAAAUUUAAGACUUUCAGCUACUUCUUUUGCCCAAAUCAGAGUAUGGCUUCAAAGAAUACGGAUUGCCACUUCAAAGAAUACGGUAAAACAGUCAUUUACUCUAAACAAAAGGGUGAAAUGGUCGCUUCUUCACAUAAAUAGUAAUAUUUUUUUUUCAAUAGAUGGCUUUCUCCUAUCCAAUUCAACUUAUGACUAUUUUGCCCCUGGUGUUACAUUGGUGAAAUUCAACAUUUGUGGAUAUUACUUUGCAAAAUCUAUUAUAUUAUAGCAAUAUGAUCCAAUUACAAAGCAAAAUUUGUUUU
Lactuca sativa (garden lettuce) is the source of this 918-nucleotide non-coding RNA. NCBI's taxonomy places the organism in Eukaryota, Viridiplantae, Streptophyta, Magnoliopsida, Asterales, Asteraceae. The record is from RefSeq and is a predicted model, not a curated record.